RNAcentral lists this ribosomal RNA (471 nucleotides) under uncultured bacterium. Its description in RNAcentral is "bacterial SSU rRNA". It matches the Rfam family "Bacterial small subunit ribosomal RNA", at positions 28 to 507 of the family's 1533-position model. The record is from RNAcentral.
GACGAACGCUGGCGGCGCGCCUAACACAUGCAAGUCGAGCGGAGAUAUACGAAGAGUAAUCCGAGUAUAUCUUAGCGGCGGACGGGUGAGUAACGCGUGAGUGACCUGCCUCUUACAGGGGAAUAACGUGCCGAAAGGCACACUAAUACCGCAUAAGACCACGAAACCGCAUGGUUAUGAGGUCAAAGGAGCAAUCCGGUAAGAGAUGGGCUCGCGUCCGAUUAGAUAGUUGGUGAGGUAACGGCCCACCAAGUCGACGAUCGGUAGCCGACCUGAGAGGGUGAUCGGCCACACUUGGAACUGAGAGACGGUCCAAACUCCUACGGGAGGCAGCAGUGGGAAUAUUGGGCAAUGGGGGAAACCCUGACCCAGCGACGCCGCGUGAGGGAAGAAGGUUUUCGGAUUGUAAACCUCUGUUCUUGGUGAAGAGGGGAAGACGGUAGCCAAGGAGAAGCCCCGGCUAACUACGUG